CAAUAGCGUAUAUUAACGUUGUUGCAGUUAAAAAGCUCGUAGUUGGAUUUCUGGAGGGAGCGUCGGCCCGUAUUUACGAGUGCGUGACGUCUCUGUCCAUCCUUGCGGGAAGGCACGGCAUUGAUUUGUUGUGUCGGAUCGCAUCAUUUACUGUGAAAAAAUUAGAGUGUUCAAAGCAGGCUUUCGCUUGAAUACAUUAGCAUGGAAUAAUAAGAUAGGACUUUGGUGCUAUUUUGUUGGUUGAGCUUAAAGUAAUGAUUAAUAGGGAUAGUUGGGGGCACCUGUAUUGCGUUGUCAGAGGUGAAAUUCUUGGAUUUACGCAAGACAAACAGCUGCGAAAGCGUCUGCCAAGGAUGUUUUCAUUAA
Molecule: ribosomal RNA, 366 nt
Filed under: uncultured eukaryote
Lineage: Eukaryota
Description: partial 18S ribosomal RNA
Rfam family: Eukaryotic small subunit ribosomal RNA
Source: RNAcentral